Anguilla anguilla (European eel) is the source of this 2588-nucleotide RNA transcript. It is a transcript of the gene named sodium/hydrogen exchanger 9-like, with no coding region annotated. The record is from RefSeq and is a predicted model, not a curated record. NCBI's taxonomy places the organism in Eukaryota, Metazoa, Chordata, Actinopteri, Anguilliformes, Anguillidae. The transcript has 17 exons.
UUUGUAAAGAAAAUGAUAUUUCAAAUUGACUACAACUCCCAAAAGUCUAGGAAAUCCUCUCGCAAUCAUGUGGUUGUAAGGUUGAAAUUUGAAAGUGAAUUUAUGUAUACUACUGUAACCUACUAUAGAUGCGGAUGUAGGCUUCUGUAUUACACAGCUGGGAGCAUUACAAAGUGGUUUGGUCGAAGGGUUUUACAUGUACCACACUAAGUCUGUAUUUUAAUAGGGUAGUUAUUUUCACCAUUAAAAUGUUUACUUCCCUAGACCAGCACAUGCGAUUUAGCACAGAAUUGCUCGUGUUCGAUGUAUUAUUGAUACUGACUAUUUUAACAAUAUGGUUGUUCAGAACACGGCAGAUUAGGUGUAUGCACGAAACUGGCGGAGCUAUGCUUUAUGGUUUGAUUCUGGGUUUAACUCUGAAAUAUACUGGCAGUCAGUGGAACCAUGAGGCUGGGGAUGUUCAUGGCUGUGAAAGUCUAAACCACACCUCACCUCACCUGGCUGCCAACACUACAGUGGACCAUGACAGGCACAAGCAUGUUGGCAUGAUGGCCUUUGCCCCAGAAGUCUUCUUCAAUUUGUUUCUGCCGCCCAUCAUAUUUCAAGGAGCCUACAGUUUAAACCAGAGGCAUUUCUUCCAGAAUUCUGGCUCUGUGUUGACCUUUGCUUUUUUGGGAACUGUCAUCUCCUCUGCAGUUGUAGGGGCCAGCAUGUACGGCUUCGUGAAGCUGAUGGUGCUCCUGGGUCAGGCGAGAGACGGCGAUUUCCUCCUGACAGACUGCCUCUUCUUCGGGGCGCUGAUAUCGGCCACUGAUCCAGUGACCGUGCUGGCCAUCUUCACUGAGCUGCGCGUGGACUCCAACCUCUACAUCCUGCUGUUUGGGGAGAGCGUGCUGAAUGAUGCCGUGGCCAUCGUCCUGACCUAUGCCAUAUCGACCUACAGUCAGUCGGGGGGGCAUCACUCCUUCAGUGCAUCUGCUUUCUUUCUCUCCAUCGGUCAUUUCAUCGCAGUGUUCAUUGGCUCCGUCUUCAUCGGCUUCUCUUUUACCAUCAUCACUGCCCUGUUGACCAAGUUCACAAGGCUGUCUGACUUCCCACUAUUGGAGACAGGCCUAUUCUUCCUCCUCUCCUGGAGUGCCUUCCUGUCAGCAGAGGCCUGUGGGAUGACGGGCAUUGUGGCCGUGCUGUUCUGUGGGAUCACGCAGGCUCGCUACACCUUCCACAACCUGAGCGCUGAGGCCAGAACCAGAACCAAACAGCUCUUUGAAUUCUUGAACUUCCUUGGAGAAAAUUUCAUUUUCUGCUACAUGGGCCUGGCGCUGUUCACAUUCCAGAUUAAUGACUUCAAAGGCAUCUUCAUAUUGGGGGCUUUUCUCUCCAUCUUCCUGGCAAGGGCGUGCAACAUCUACCCGCUGUCUUUCCUGCUCAACCUCGGCCGCAGGGAGAAGAUCCCUCUCAACAUUCAGCACAUGAUGAUGUUUUCAGGUUUGCGUGGCGCGGUGGCCUUUGCCCUGGCGGUGAGGGACACCUGCACCAUCGCCCGCCGGACCAUUCUGAGCACCACCCUCCUGCUGGUCCUCUUCACCGUCUGGGUGCUGGGCGGUGGCACCUGCCCAAUGCUGGCCUGGCUGGACAUCAGAGUGGGAGUAGAUCCUGAUGAAGACAAAGUGGGACAGGCCUCACACCAGACUGCCGGGGAGGGGACGCCAGCGUAUGCGGCCAACACAGCUGACACCCAGACCCCAGCCUCCCACACACCUGGAGUCUGGUACAACCUGGACAAAAUUUACGUUAGGCCUGCACUGACCCACUCUGGCCCUCCCCUGACCUCUACUCUGCCAUCGUGGUGUGCGCCUCUGGGAAAACUACUGACCAGUCCACAAGCAUACGAGAACGUGGAGCGGCUAAAUGACGUGGGGGCCGGCUGCAGCUCGGUGAAGCUGGACAAUGCAGGGGAAGAUGGAAGGGCAACAGAGGGCGAUGCAGAGAUGGUCACUGAGCCUGCACACCAAGAUGACCUACUAGAGGGGGACCUCGGGCUGGGACACAGUGCUGACCCCGUUUGGAAAGAGUGACAGCCACGUCCAUUAACGAGAGCAAUCAGGAACAGCGCUCCUCCCUGAAGAGGAACUGGCGCCGUGGGCUAUGCAUAGCAAAUUGUGGUCACUCACUCACGGACAACCUUUGAGGGACGUUUUGUGGGACGCAUGCGCAGGUGGUGCCAGCUAAAAUGUGUCUGCGGAAGUGAGUCGCGCCAUGGGUCUGGACGGUUCCGUGGUUGUUACAGAUUUCUUUCCCUACUCUAAGCCAAACAAAUGGUAUAUUCCUAUAGGAUUCUUCAGAAAUUGCCAUGUUCCUAUAGUUCUUGUAAAAUAUUUAUUGAACAUUUCUCCUGCUUUCAUAAAUAAUUUAAAUUUAUUCCAUUGAAUUUAGCAGCUAAUGUUAGUUUAGUCCUUAUUUUACUUUGCAUGAGAGUACUUAGAUAUUGUGCAAAAUAUUAGCAGUAUCUGUGGGGUUUAUGUUUAUCACAUCAAAUUUCACAACAAAUUUGUUUUGUUCACCUUCUUAAUAAAAGUGGUUGCCAUCAA